GUCGGGCUCCUCCGCCAGCGUCGAGCUGGAGUCGCGCGCCGGCCCGCUGUGGGGUCGGGCGUCCGAGGCCCAGCCGGCCCGAGAAGUAGGCUCGGUCCGAGCUGGACGCUGCAGGUUCUGACCUCGAAACGGGGGCCUGAGUCCUUCAAGAGCCUGGGGGCGAAGAGACGAGAAGGCGGCUGCAUUUUGCUGAAUGGUGGUGGUGUUUGGGGUUUUUUAAAAUCCUUUCUCCCCCAUUUUCCUUUUUACACUUUUUUUUCUUAAAAAAGAUUUUUUUUUGGUCUUUGCCCUUUUAUUCGUUGGGGGAGUGAAUGCUGUCAGUGGCGAAGUAAAAUUAGGAAGGGGCCCUUGCCCGGCUGGCGCCUUCUCUGCGCGCUGACCUGCGGGCGAGGCUUGGGGCAGAGCUCGGCGGAGGGCGGAGGCCGCAAGUGGAGGUGAGGCCGGAGCUGCAGGCUGGCAGGGUUUCCAGCCUGGCAGGAGCUGUGCCCGGCGAUGCUUUUGUGAAUUACAUUAGGCGGAGGACUAGGACCCGCAUCUUUCAUUCACCAGAGUUGAGGACGUCCGCUCUGUGCCAGGCUGCCUGGCCCUGGGGGCUUCUUAGAGUUUUUUUCGUUUUCUGUUUUUGGAGGGUUUUGUUUUUGCUCACCAGUAAGUAGAAGGGAGGACGUCGUGUGAACAUCUAAUGUGCAGAUGUCUGCAGAGCGGUAUUUGGGGUCCACAGUAAGGUAGUCUUCAAACACUUAGAGAUUGUUUCUUUUACAGGGCCAUGCAGAUUGGAUCAAACCAGAAAUAAGGCUCUCUGUCCAGAAAAAGCCUUCACUGAAAGAAAUAACGUGCUUAAGGAAGGAACGUAUAAGUCAGGAAUUGAGCCAAGAAAAGCCUGCGAAGUAAAUAUUUGGCAGGGUCCCAGUCUGAAGGGGAAAGUCUCCCGAGCAGGUACAAAACCUAUCUGGAUCUGGUAGUGGAGGUAGUUUCAUCUCUAUCAAAGCCUGAUAUGAUUCCAUUAAAUGCUGAAUCAUACAAUUAAACUUUUUAAUGAUCCCUUUUCUUAACAAAUACAGUUCUGAACAUUAAUUUAAUUUCCAUAUAGGUUUUUGGUUUUUGGGUUUUUUUUAACAAGGAGAGAACAUCUUAGCCAAAUGAAAUGAAUAGUCAUUUCCCUUGAUAGUUGUAUUUUCUUUGUGAGUGAAUACAUCAGUGUUUUGGUUUUUUUACAUAAGUUCUUUUUUGGGCGGGGGGCGGGGCAGGCACCCGCAGCAUAUGGAGGUUCCCAGGCUAGGGGUCGAAUCAGAGCGGUCUGCAACCUACACAACAGCUCUGGGCAAUGCCAGAGCCUUAACCCACUGAGCCAGGCCAGCGAUCAAACCCGCAACCUCAUGGUCCCUAGUUAGAUUCGUUUCUGCUGCACCAGGAAGGGAACUCCUAUACAGAAGUUCUAAGGAGCAUGAUUCAUGGUUUUGUAACACAAAGACCAGACCUGAACUGAGUGAAUUCACAAAGAAAAAUAUUCCUCUGAGGCCAGUUGAUCAGCCAGCUUUUUUUUUUUUCCAUUUUUUAAAGUUUUAUUGAAGUAUAAUUGAUCUACAUCAGCCAGCUUUUUCACAUCCCAACUUUGCAACACCUUCCAGCCACUUAUUUACAGAAAGGAAUUUCUGCAUAAUAGACCAAGGACCAAAACACUGUGAAGAUCUGGGGACUUCUGUAACUUCUGUUUAUCAGUAAAACUUAAAGUGAGACUACUCCACGCUUUGCUUGAGUACAGCAUAGAAGGCAGAGCAGGAAAGGCUGCAUUUCACUUGGGAGAAGAAGAGGUUUGGGGUAUGGCAUUUUAAAAGAAGAAAGCAAGUUUCUGUUUUGCCCCUGAGGAGAAACAUGAGGAAUAAUAGGCCUUAAAAUGGUAUCCCACAGUUAGCAAGGACAGUAUUGAAAAGGAAAAAGCCUAAGGGGAAGGUCUAUAAGGGGUUAGAGGAAGAAAAGAUGAAUCUGGACAAGGAAGAAAAAAGUUUUAAAGGGUUAAUAAAUGUCUAGUGAUGCAGAGUCAUGAGAAGGGUUUAAGAAAAGGCCUUUGGAUUUUUUAACUAGAAAAUGUGGAUUAUUUUGUAUGGUUGCUUUUUUUCCUGUAUUAAAAUGUUUUAAUAUUAUUUUCAUUGUAUUUUAAAUUUGGAGUGGCUAAUGUAUUUUCAUAGUUCCAAAAUCAAACGAUACAAGAAGAUAUAGUUCACUAUUGUACUGAAUAUCCCAGUGAACAAAAAGUCAAGAGAAAAAUGUAUAAAGAUUAGGAAAAAAAAUGCAUAAAUCUGUUACUUGGAGAAAGCAUGAUAGUUUCUAAAUAAAAUUGUAGUUUAUGAACUAUUAGUGUUAUAAUGAAUUUAAAAAGUGGCUGGAUACUGUCAGUAUAUAAAGAUCAGUUAUUUUUUCACACCAGCACUUAACAAUUAGAAAAGGAUUUUUUGUUUUGUUUUGUUUUGAGGGCCACACCCUCGGCAUAUGGAGGUUCCCAGUCCAGGGGUCUAGUUGGAGCUACAGCUGCUGGCCCAUGCCACAGCCUCAGCAACAUCAGAUCUAAGCCUUGCCUGCUACCUACUGACCAAGGCCAGGGAUGGAACCCACAACCUCAUGGUUCCCAGUCGGAUUCAUUUCCGCUGUACCAUGACAGGAACUCCAAAAAUGAAUUUUUAAAGUAAUACCAGAUACAAAUGCACCAAAAAUUUGAAAUACCUACUGUAUUAGUUUCCUAUGGCAGCUGUAACAAAUUACCACAAACUUUGUAGCUUGAAAUAAAUUCAUUCUCUCAC
RNAcentral lists this long non-coding RNA (2795 nucleotides) under Sus scrofa (pig). RNAcentral's name for it is "lncRNA (ENSSSCG00015038465.1)". The record is from RNAcentral. Lineage: Eukaryota; Metazoa; Chordata; Mammalia; Artiodactyla; Suidae.